AUUGAACGCUGGCGGCAGGCCUAACACAUGCCAGUCGAGCGGAUGAAGGGAGCUUGCUCCUGGAUUCAGCGGCGGACGGGUGAGUAAUGCCUAGGAAUCUGCCUGGUAGUGGGGGAUAACGUCCGGAAACGGGCGCUAAUACCGCAUACGUCCUGAGGGAGAAAGUGGGGGAUCUUCGGACCUCACGCUAUCAGAUGAGCCUAGGUCGGAUUAGCUAGUCGGUGGGGUAAAGGCCUACCAAGGCGACGAUCCGUAACUGGUCCGAGAGGAUGAUCAGUCACACUGGAACUGAGACACGGUCCAGACUCCUACGGGAGGCAGCAGUGGGGAAUAUUGGACAAUGGGCGAAAGCCUGAUCCAGCCAUGCCGCGUGUGUGAAGAAGGUCUUCGGAUUGUAAAGCACUUUAAGUUGGGAGGAAGGGCAGUAAGUUAAUACCUUGCUGUUUUGACGUUACCAACAGAAUAAGCACCGGCUAACUUCGUG
RNAcentral lists this ribosomal RNA (484 nucleotides) under uncultured bacterium. Its description in RNAcentral is "partial 16S ribosomal RNA". It matches the Rfam family "Bacterial small subunit ribosomal RNA", at positions 30 to 507 of the family's 1533-position model. The record is from RNAcentral.